ACGAACGCUGGCGGCGUGCUUCACACAUGCAAGUCGAACGGUGAAGCGAGUGCUUGCACUCGUGGAUCAGUGGCGAACGGGUGAGUAACACGUGAGUAACCUGCCCAUCACUCUGGGAUAAGCACUGGAAACGGUGUCUAAUACUGGAUACGACCAACCCUUGCAUGGGGUGUUGGUGGGAAGAUUUAUCGGUGAUGGAUGGACUCGCGGCCUAUCAGCUUGUUGGCGGGGUAAUGGCCCACCAAGGCGACGACGGGUAGCCGGCCUGAGAGGGUGACCGGCCACACUGGGACUGAGACACGGCCCAGACUCCUACGGGAGGCAGCAGUGGGGAAUAUUGCACAAUGGGCGAAAGCCUGAUGCAGCGACGCCGCGUGAGGGAUGACGGCCUUCGGGUUGUAAACCUCUUUCAGCAGGGAAGAAGCGAAAGUGACGGUACCUGCAGAAGAAGCACCGGCUAACUACGUG
This 468-nucleotide ribosomal RNA is filed under the name uncultured bacterium. RNAcentral describes it as "partial 16S ribosomal RNA". It matches the Rfam family "Bacterial small subunit ribosomal RNA", at positions 29 to 507 of the family's 1533-position model. The record is from RNAcentral.